RNAcentral lists this ribosomal RNA (209 nucleotides) under uncultured bacterium. Its description in RNAcentral is "partial 16S ribosomal RNA". It matches the Rfam family "Bacterial small subunit ribosomal RNA", at positions 568 to 774 of the family's 1533-position model. The record is from RNAcentral.
CGCGCGGGCGGUCGUUCAAGUCGCGUGUGAAAGCCCCCCGGCUCAACUGGGGGAGGGUCACGCGAUACUGAUCGACUCGAAGGCAGGAGAGGGUAGUGGAAUUCCCGGUGUAGUGGUGAAAUGCGUAGAUAUCGGGAGGAACACCAGUGGCGAAGGCGACUACCUGGCCUGUUCUUGACGCUGAGGCGCGAAAGCUAGGGGAGCAAACG